Molecule: ribosomal RNA, 498 nt
Filed under: uncultured bacterium
Lineage: Bacteria
Description: partial 16S ribosomal RNA
Rfam family: Bacterial small subunit ribosomal RNA
Source: RNAcentral
ACGAACGCUGGCGGCGUGCUUCACACAUGCAAGUCGAACGGGCCCGCUCUCUUUUUUGGGGGUGGGUUGAGUGGCGAACGGGUGAGUAUCACGUGAGUAACCUGCCCCCUGCUCCUGGAUAACUGCUUGAAAGGGCGGCUAAUACGGGGUGUGCCGGCUGGUCCGCAUGGGCCUGGUCGGGAUAGUUUCAUCUUCGGGUGUUUCGGUGGGGGAUGGGCUCGCGGCCUAUCAGCUUGUUGGUGGGGUGAUGGCCCACCAAGGCGGUGACGGGUAGCCGGCCUGAGAGGGUGGGCGGCCACACUGGGACUGAGACACGGCCCAGACUCCUGCGGGAGGCAGCAGUGGGGGGUAUUGCACAAUGGGCGGAAGCCUGAUGCAGCGACGUCGCGUGAGGGAUGGAGGCCUUCGGGUUGUGAACCUCUUUCUCCGGUGGUGAAGGCCCUGUCCGUUGCGGCGGGGUUGACGGUAGCCGGGUAUGAAGCGCCGGCUAACUACGUG